GCGGGGGUUGCCAAGCCUGGUCAAAUUGGCCGCAGAACCAGCGGCGCAGGGCUUAGGACCCUGUCCCGAAGGGGUUCGUGGGUUCAAAUCCCACCCCCCGCA
Molecule: transfer RNA, 102 nt
Filed under: Candidatus Caldarchaeum sp.
Lineage: Archaea; Thermoproteati; Nitrososphaerota; Candidatus Caldarchaeales; Candidatus Caldarchaeaceae
Description: tRNA-Leu
Rfam family: tRNA
About the family: Transfer RNA (tRNA) molecules are approximately 80 nucleotides in length. Their secondary structure includes four short double-helical elements and three loops (D, anti-codon, and T loops).
Source: RNAcentral